AUACGGAGGGUGCAAGCGUUACUCGGAGUCACUGGGCGUAAAGCGCGCGCAGGCGGCUAUUUAAGUUGGAUGUGAAAGCCUACGGCUCAACCGUAGAACUGCAUCCAAAACUAUUUAGCUAGAGUGUGGGAGAGGAAGAUGGAAUUAGUUGUGUAGGGGUAAAAUCCGUAGAGAUAACUAGGAAUACCAAAAGCGAAGGCAAUCUUCUGGAACACUACUGACGCUGAGGCGCGAAAGCGUGGGGAGCAAACGGGAUUAGAAACCCCAGUAGUCC
Molecule: ribosomal RNA, 274 nt
Filed under: uncultured bacterium
Lineage: Bacteria
Description: partial 16S ribosomal RNA
Rfam family: Bacterial small subunit ribosomal RNA
Source: RNAcentral